CGGAUUGGAGUCUGCAACCCGACUCCAUGAAGCUGGAUUCGCUAGUAAUCGCGCAUCAGCCACGGCGCGGUGAAUACGUUCCCGGGCCUUGUAUACACCGCCCGUCAAGCCAUGGAAGCCGGGAGUGCCUGAAGUGCGUGACCGCAAGGAGCGUCCUAAGGCAAUACCGGUGACUGGGGCUAAGUCGUAACAAGGUAUC
This 199-nucleotide ribosomal RNA is filed under the name uncultured bacterium. Its description in RNAcentral is "partial 16S ribosomal RNA". It matches the Rfam family "Bacterial small subunit ribosomal RNA", at positions 1294 to 1500 of the family's 1533-position model. The record is from RNAcentral.